Molecule: long non-coding RNA, 446 nt
Organism: Rhipicephalus sanguineus (brown dog tick)
Lineage: Eukaryota; Metazoa; Arthropoda; Arachnida; Ixodida; Ixodidae
Exons: 4
Source: RefSeq, a predicted model, not a curated record
UUGGUUAUUGCAACUGACGGAGCUCCCGCUAACAACCGACAAGAAACGAAAAGUCAUGAACUGGGGUAUGUCUACGACGAAGGCAUCAUUGACCACCACAAGCCAUUGCCCGGAGUUGUAGCUGGCCAUCCGUGCAGCAGGAGAAACGGUGUACCCUGCUUCGCCAUUCCCUGGCGACCUUCAAUCAUCCGACCUCCCCAGCCUCCCCGUCGUCCACGUCCUAACAUCAACAGCAUCGGAUGAGAACUUCGUAUAAGCUGUCAUGCGUGCUGACACGAAAUGUUCUUUAGCGAUUCUUGUUUGCAAUUUAUACGGAGAGUAUCCGACUGAGAACUUAAAGCAUAUUAUUUCUAACUUGUUUUAUAUAUUUUCCCAAGCCAGAAUAUCGCGUGGCAGUUUUUCUUGGUGGCUAGCUACGCGGCAGCAUACGACGGCAUAAUAAAUAU